CGUAGGUGGCAAGCGUUGUCCGGAAUUAUUGGGCGUAAAGCGCGCGCAGGCGGAAAUUUAAGUCUAUCUUAAAAGUGCGGGGCUCAACCCCCGUGAUGGGAUAGAAACUGGAUUUCUUGAGUGUCGGAGAGGACAGUGGAAUUCCCAGUGUAGCGGUGAAAUGCGUAGAUAUUGGGAGGAACACCAGUGGCGAAGGCGACUGUCUGGACGAUGUCUGACGCUGAGGCGCGAAAGCCAGGGUAGUGAACGGGAUUAGAUACCCCGGUAAUCCUGGCCGUAAACGAUGGGUACUAGGUGUUGGGGGUAUCGACCCCUCCAGUGCCGGAGUUAACGCAAUAAGUACCCCGCCUGGGGAGUACGGCCGCAAGGUUG
This 372-nucleotide ribosomal RNA is filed under the name uncultured organism. RNAcentral describes it as "bacterial SSU rRNA". It matches the Rfam family "Bacterial small subunit ribosomal RNA", at positions 526 to 896 of the family's 1533-position model. The record is from RNAcentral.